This is a small nuclear RNA of Neogale vison (American mink), 143 nucleotides long. RefSeq annotates it as U4 spliceosomal RNA. The record is from RefSeq and is a predicted model, not a curated record. The transcript has a single exon. NCBI's taxonomy places the organism in Eukaryota, Metazoa, Chordata, Mammalia, Carnivora, Mustelidae.
AUCAGGACAAUUUGGCAGUAUCGUAGCCAAUGAGGUUUAUCUGAGGCGCGAUUAUUGCUAAUUGUAUUAGAUAACAAAUUAUCUUAGAGCCAUGCAUACUCUUAGCACUUUAUAAAUAUCCAUGAAAGCAUAGUUAUAGGGAU